Molecule: ribosomal RNA, 479 nt
Filed under: uncultured bacterium
Lineage: Bacteria
Description: bacterial SSU rRNA
Rfam family: Bacterial small subunit ribosomal RNA
Source: RNAcentral
ACGAACGCUGGCGGCGUGCCUAACACAUGCAAGUCAACUUGACUGAAGGAGCAAUCUGACAGUAGAGUGGCGCAAGGGUGCGUAACGCGUAAGUAACUUGCCCCAAGGUAAGGAAUAACGUCGAGAAAUCGGCGCUAAUACCUCAUAAUGCAGCGGAUCCGCAUGGAUAUGUUGUUAAAGGUUUACCGCCUUGGGAUAGGCUUGCGUCUGAUUAGUUAGUUGGUGUGGUAACGGCACACCAAGGCUACGAUCAGUAACUGGUCUGAGAGGAUGAUCAGUCACACUGGAACUGAGACACGGUCCAGACUCCUACGGGAGGCAGCAGUGAGGAAUAUUGGGCAAUGCUCGAAAGAGUGACCCAGCAACGCCGCGUGGAGGAUGAAGGUAUUCUAUAUCGUAACCUCCUGUGAGAGCAGACGAAAGACAGAUUAUUAAUCUGGAUGACUGUAUGCUCAGAGGAAGCCCCGGCUAACUACGUG